CAUACUACCUUGAAUAAAAUUAACCACCUCAAUUGGGUGCGUCUUAAUAAUUACAAAUCCUGUGGAACAGUUUCCGGAGGGUUUCGGAUUUUAAACAACUGCAUCAGCAGUUUUCGGAUCAGGAUGAAAUGCACCUCAGCUCGAUGAGCAAUCGAGCUACGAUGAUCGUACACAUUAUUAUCUCGAUUCGCCCCACGCGCGUGAUAGACAAACAAAGAUCAGAGUCGCCUUGAUCCGAUCUUUUGGGGAUUAAAAUUCUUCUAGUCUUAUCUAAGAAAAGACAAUCUUACGAACGUGUGUUUUACAGCAAUCAGUUGAACUAGGUAGGCUCGGUUCAUCUCACAUGUUAAAAAACGCGGGAGCGCCAACAAAUUCGCAAUAAUAAAAUUUUAAUAAUAAAAUCACAAAUUAAAUAAAAAAUACCAACGCUAUUGGCAGACAAAAUUGCGGAGGAUCGUGAGAAACGUAGUUCUGAGCUCAAUUUAUUGUUGGAAAAGUUUGAACGGAUCAGGAGUCAUCGGCUUUAAAAACUGCAUCAAGUUCAAAGUGGAUCGAAAAUAAAGUGGAUCAUGUGAUUUUUUUUCGUGUCUAGGAGAUAGGGUGCUUUCAAGUCUUGUAGGAGGUGUUGAAAAAUAAAAGGAUUUCAUCCAGUUAAAAGUAGAU
Molecule: long non-coding RNA, 663 nt
Organism: Athalia rosae (coleseed sawfly)
Lineage: Eukaryota; Metazoa; Arthropoda; Insecta; Hymenoptera; Athaliidae
Exons: 2
Source: RefSeq, a predicted model, not a curated record